UGGGAUGUAGCUCAGUUGGUAGAGUACUAGCCUUGCAUGCACAAGGUCCUGGGUUCAAUUCCCAGCAUCACAA
This 73-nucleotide transfer RNA is filed under the name Marmota monax (woodchuck). It matches the Rfam family "tRNA". From Rfam's summary of the family: Transfer RNA (tRNA) molecules are approximately 80 nucleotides in length. The record is from Rfam by way of RNAcentral. Lineage: Eukaryota; Metazoa; Chordata; Mammalia; Rodentia; Sciuridae.